GAUGAACGCGGCGGCGUGCUUAACACAUGCAAGUCGAACGAAGCUGCCUGGAGGAAGUUUUCGGAUGGAAUUUAGGUAGACUUAGUGGCGGACGGGUGAGUAACGCGUGGAUAACCUGCCUUAUACAGGGGGAUAACGGAGAGAAAUUUCCGCUAACACCGCAUAAGACCACAGCACCGCAUGGUGCAGGGGUAAAAUAUUUAUAGGUGUAAGAUGGAUCCGCGUCCGAUUAGCUAGUUGGUGAGGUAAAGGCCCACCAAGGCGACGAUCGGUAGCCGGCCUGAGAGGGUGAACGGCCACAUUGGGACUGAGACACGGCCCAAACUCCUACGGGAGGCAGCAGUGGGGAAUAUUGGACAAUGGGGGAAACCCUGAUCCAGCGACGCCGCGUGAGUGAAGAAGUAUUUCGGUAUGUAAAGCUCUAUCAGCAGGGAAGAAAAUGACGGUACCUGACUAAGAAGCCCCGGCUAACUACGUGCCAGCAGCCGCGGUGAUACGUAGGGGGCAAGCGUUAUCCGGAUUUACUGGGUGUAAAGGGAGCGCAGACGGCAAUGCAAGUCUGAAGUGAAAGGCGUGGGCUCGACCCAUGAACUGCUUUGGAAACUGUAUAGCUUGAGUGUCGGAGGGGUAAGCGGAAUUCCUAGUGUAGCGGUGAAAUGCGUAGAUAUUAGGAGGAACACCGGAGGCGAAGGCGGCUUACUGGACGACAACUGACGUUGAGGCUCGAAGGCGUGAGGAGCAAACAGG
RNAcentral lists this ribosomal RNA (747 nucleotides) under uncultured Lachnospiraceae bacterium. RNAcentral's name for it is "bacterial SSU rRNA". It matches the Rfam family "Bacterial small subunit ribosomal RNA", at positions 28 to 776 of the family's 1533-position model. The record is from RNAcentral. Lineage: Bacteria; Bacillati; Bacillota; Clostridia; Lachnospirales; Lachnospiraceae.